ACAUUUUGACAUUUUGACAUUUUGACAUUUUGACAUUUGGACAUUUUGACAUUUUGACAUUUUGACAUUUUGACAUUUUGACAUUUUGACAUUUUGACAUUUUGACAUUUUGACAUUUUGACAUUUUGACAUUUUGACAUUUUGACAUUUUGACAUUUUGACAUUUUGACAUUUUGACAUUUUAACCAAAAAUGCGAAACUUAAAUUUUCUUGUUUAAUUUUCAAUGUACGUAAUAUUUGAACGACCCUAUAAUUUGUUAUGUCAUCGUAGUAUUUGAACAUCCCAUCGUAGCAGUCAAUGUCCGCCAUGACAAAUUGAACCAAAUAUCGCGUCUGUUUUGUUCGCUGCAGCGGUGCCGUUUUUUCCAUUUUCUGUGGUGAAAAUUAAGAAAAAAAAUGUUUGAACUGCCGCUGUUACUAUCAAGUUAUGGCCGUACGAUGACCGGAAAAUCUGGAACAACCAGCAUCUCGUGGCCAACCGAACCGAAUCCUCAUUCGGUAGAUCCAGCUCAAUAAAAGUGUGCUUCAACAGUGUUAAAUAUUAUGAAAAUAAAUGUUCUAAAACUGUUUCA
Culex pipiens pallens (northern house mosquito) is the source of this 572-nucleotide long non-coding RNA. RefSeq lists it as uncharacterized. The record is from RefSeq and is a predicted model, not a curated record. The transcript has 2 exons. NCBI's taxonomy places the organism in Eukaryota, Metazoa, Arthropoda, Insecta, Diptera, Culicidae.